This 492-nucleotide ribosomal RNA is filed under the name uncultured bacterium. RNAcentral's name for it is "partial 16S ribosomal RNA". It matches the Rfam family "Bacterial small subunit ribosomal RNA", at positions 29 to 507 of the family's 1533-position model. The record is from RNAcentral.
AGUGAACGCUGGCGGUAGGCCUAACACAUGCAAGUCGAACGGCCGCACAGUAAGAGCUUGCUCUUACGGGUGGCGAGUGGCGGACGGGUGAGGAAUACAUCGGAAUCUACUUUUUCGUGGGGGAUAACGUAGGGAAACUUACGCUAAUACCGCAUACGACCUACGGGUGAAAGCAGGGGAUCUUCGGACCUUGCGCGAUUGAAUGAGCCGAUGUCGGAUUAGCUAGUUGGCGGGGUAAAGGCCCACCAAGGCGACGAUCCGUAGCUGGUCUGAGAGGAUGAUCGGCCACACUGGAACUGAGACACGGUCCAGACUCCUACGGGAGGCAGCAGUGGGGAAUAUUGGACAAUGGGCGCAAGCCUGAUCCAGCCAUACCGCGUGGGUGAAGAAGGCCUUCGGGUUGUAAAGCCCUUUUGUUGGGAAAGAAAAGCAGCAGAUUAAUACCCCGCUGUUCUGACGGUACCCAAAGAAUAAGCACCGGCUAACUUCGUG